CUACCCUUGACAUGUAUGGAACCUGGCUGAGAGGUCAGGGUGCCCGAAAGGGAGCCAUAACACAGGUGCUGCAUGGCUGUCGUCAGCUCGUGUCGUGAGAUGUUGGGUUAAGUCCCGCAACGAGCGCAACCCUUGUCCCUAGUUGCUACGCAAGAGCACUCUAGGGAGACUGCCGGUGACAAACCGGAGGAAGGUGGGGAUGACGUCAAGUCCUCAUGGCCCUUAUGGGUAGGGCUUCACACGUCAUACAAUGGUCGGAACAGAGAGUCGCCAACCCGCGAGGGGGAGCCAAUCCCAGAAAACCGAUCGUAGUCCGGAUCGCACUCUGCAACUCGAGUGCGUGAAGCUGGAAUCGCUAGUAAUCGCGGAUCAGCAUGCCGCGGUGAAUACGUUCCC
This 396-nucleotide ribosomal RNA is filed under the name uncultured bacterium. RNAcentral's name for it is "bacterial SSU rRNA". It matches the Rfam family "Bacterial small subunit ribosomal RNA", at positions 975 to 1375 of the family's 1533-position model. The record is from RNAcentral.